This is a long non-coding RNA of Toxotes jaculatrix (banded archerfish), 314 nucleotides long. RefSeq lists it as uncharacterized. The transcript is spliced from 3 exons. The record is from RefSeq and is a predicted model, not a curated record. Lineage: Eukaryota; Metazoa; Chordata; Actinopteri; Toxotidae.
CCGGAGUUUCAUUUAUUUUAUUACGUCAGUGGAUUGAGGCCGAUCCACGCCAUUUUUCUGCCGAUGCUGAUUUCUUCGAGUUACUCCUAAAGGAAAAAGCUGAGAAGACCAGCCUCCCCUGCACCCAGCUAUGUGUCCAUGAGCAGUGACGGGUCAAUGGAUCGUCAUCGUGCUAAAGUGAAGAAAAAAAGAUGCGGUUCUGUUGGUCCCAGGAAAAAGCUGAGAAGAGAAGCCUCUCCUGUGUCCAUGAGGAGCCACAAGUCCAGGGAUCAACGUCCGGUAUUUAAAGAUGGAUGCCGUUCUGCUGAUCAAAG